RNAcentral lists this ribosomal RNA (397 nucleotides) under uncultured bacterium. Its description in RNAcentral is "bacterial SSU rRNA". It matches the Rfam family "Bacterial small subunit ribosomal RNA", at positions 362 to 776 of the family's 1533-position model. The record is from RNAcentral.
UAUUGCACAAUGGGGGAAACACUGAUGCAGCGACGCCGCGUGGGUGAAGAAGUAUUUCGGUAUGUAAAGCUCUAUCAGCAGGGAAGAUAAUGACGGUACCUGACUAAGAAGACCCGGCUAACUACGUGCAAGCAGCCGCGGUAAUACGUAGGGGGCAAGCGUUAUCCGGAUUCACUGGGUGGAAAGGGAGCGUAGGUGGCAGGGCAAGUCAGAUGUGAAAACCCGGGGCUCAACCCCGGGAGUGCAUUUGAAACUGUCCAGCUGGAGUGCAGGAGAGGUAAGCGGAAUUCCUAGUGUAGCGGUGAAAUGCAUAGAUAUUAGGGGGAACACCAGUGGCGAAGGCGGCUUACUGGACUGUAACUGACACUGAGGCUCGAAAGCGUGGGGAGCAAACAGG